UCCCUCUGUAGACCAGGCUGCCCUCAA
Molecule: non-coding RNA, 27 nt
Filed under: Rattus norvegicus (Norway rat)
Lineage: Eukaryota; Metazoa; Chordata; Mammalia; Rodentia; Muridae
Source: RNAcentral